Molecule: unclassified non-coding RNA, 4722 nt
Filed under: Leishmania donovani
Lineage: Eukaryota; Euglenozoa; Kinetoplastea; Trypanosomatida; Trypanosomatidae
Description: gene:LdHU3.34.2190(CDS-product:hypothetical_prote in_conserved)
Source: RNAcentral
ACGAAAAAGCUCGCCGCCUCUGCCAUAGGAAAGUAGCCUUACUCACUCUCCCCCUCCCUCCAAGAGAGAAGCCACACUGAUCCAAGCACCCACCUUGGUCCUACCCCCCCCCCUCCCCCCGGACCCGUUACCACUUUAUAGUGCACCUCGCUCGCUCAGCGGCAGCGCAAACGUGGGAACAAAAAUGUGGGAAGAUGGAGUCCACGUCGUAUUGUCGCAGUCCAAAAGGCAGACGCGCCAGCACCGCGCCGGCGGAGGACACGGACAGUAAGCCGCAGUCGCCUAAUGCAAAGCCGCAGCCUGGUGUGUCGGCGUCAGCGAGUCGUCCCCGGUCCUCGGGGGCGAAAGGCACCAACUCGCAGUCGCAGCUCGGCGGGAGAAGCAGCAGCCGAGCUCGCGCCGCGUCGUCGAUUCGUUCCUCGUCGCCGGCUCCCAGGGUGAUCACGUCUCCGCAAAAAAGAAGGCGCCAGGUGUCGUCCUCCUUGCCCCCGGUGCGCGUCAGAGGCAAAAAAGGAAGUGGCCGCGCUAAGAUGGAGAUGUCCAAAAUCACUGCGGAUGCUCUCGCUUCCAUCAAUCACAGUCUAUUCAUUAAGACUAACUUGUCAGCAAAGCAGAUGAGCAGCCGCGUCAUGAAGGAGUACCUGCAAGCGCACCGCGCCGGCGCGCACAAGAUUGAGAGCCAGUCGGCGGAAGAGCGCCAAAUCAUCUGGCAGAGCUUCGUGGAUGCAUCAUACCUUCCACACAGUCACGAAAUUCAGCGCCUAGUGAGCUACGUCCAGCUGAUGGAGUCGAGAUGCCAACAGAAGCUCCAGCACGCCCAGACAGUGACCUCCUGCGCCCUGAAUAGCAUUCAGCAGCUGCUGCAGCGUGUCACUGACGUGGGCACACAGGUCCGCAAGGACACCGACGUGCUCGCGGAGAAACCGGACGUGCUUCUUAGUUCAGCAGGCGCUGAGGUAUGGAGUCGGUCAGGGGUCAAAGCCGGAAGCGCUGCCUCGGCAGUCAUGCACGUGCUCGGCAGCCCAGUGCGUGAUGUGUGUGGACUUGAUGCAAUGCUUUCUGAUCCUCAUCCACCGGCGUUUCGCAUCUCGCAGGCGGACCGCGAUGAGCGAGAACGACUGAACCGCAUCUUCAACAGCGUCCUCGAAAGCAUUGGCGCCGACGAGAACGAGAGGAGAGUCAGUGGUUCGUCGUCCAGCACGUCGCCCACAACCCAGGCGGCGAAUGGGUCACCGACACAGUCCAUUAAAGAGUGCCCGCCACUGAUGAUGGGCAGCCGAGAUGAUGAGGGCUCGGCGCCAUCCACCCAGUCCUCCUCACCGGUCUCACCCUCGACGCGUCGGCAGUCCUGCCAAGACGAUCUGGAGUGCGUUGAUGAGAAACGCAACGACACCGCUCUGAGCGAUCGGCAAGCGGAGCGCACGCAGUAUGUUCUCGAGCUGCAGCAGAAGCUCGACGCGGUUGGUGUGGCCUUUGUGCAGCUCAUGAAUCGCGUUCAGGUGCAACACCAGCAGUACCAGCACACGAUCGCCGCUCAGAAGUCUGUACUCGACGCACAAGCCACGCGACUAAAGCUCGCCGACGAUGUCCUUCGCGACACUGCGGCACAGGGGGCCAUUGAAGCGCUGAGCGCUGUGGCUCUCGCUCAGCAGCUCUCGUUGGAGCUGCGUGAGAGGAUGGAAAUAAGUGAGAGGAACAUGAACGCAGCUCUCAAGGCACUCAUCGGGCAGAGCGCGGAGGUAUGCUUCGACAACGGUAUCCUGCAAGAGUACAGCUCGCUCGCCACCAAGAAAGAGAACUGUCUCAGCGCGUUCAUGUCGCAGAUGGAGCGGCAGGUAGUGGAGCAGGCUGAUGUGCUGUGGAAAGCGCGACAAGGUGUCGCGAAAAUUUGGCAGCUGCGACUGCAGUGGCAACUCCCGCACUCGCGCGUGGCGGCAAGCGAGUCUGGUGCAAGUGUGAGGGAGCCUGAGGGAGCUGCUGGCAAUCUCGCACCCCUUCCGCCUCCGUACAAGGCCCGAUUGGAAGAGUGUGAUCGAGCAAUCCUUCUAACGUUCCUCGAACGUCUCACUAUGCAUUGCCCCGACGCUACUGCGCAUUUGAUUGCGGCCCUUGAUGAGCACGACGCCUUCUGCGUCACGCACCCGAAAGAGACGGCCGCCUCGCGAGAGGACCUGGCGCGCACGACUGCCGUGCUGCAGCUCAUUCGAAAACUGGACGAGGAAGGGCGGCUGCACUGCAGUGCGCAGCACACGGGCGAAGCGCUUUCUGUGCGUCUUCGUCGACUUGUCGAGCAGCAUGAUGCCUUCAUCGACUUUAACGAGGCCUAUGCGCGGGCGCUGGUGCGGCAAGCGGAUGCGGAGCGGCGGCAGUACACACCGGACGCUGUCGCCUUCUUCGACUCCCGCACGCCUGUGCCGGGGCUAGAAAGCGGCACCGCGAGUAGGCGACUCGCACCUGUGAAGGCGCAAGCAAUGUUUGAAGGUCACAGCAAUACCGCUGCGUCAUGUUCGGAAGCAGCGGCGACCUCCGAUGCGGAGUCCACGAAGAAUUCGCCGUCCCGGCCAGCCAUGCCGUACCUGAGCCUGUGGACACGAAAGCAGCGGGAGCUACGAGCGCGGCAGUGCGAGACGGGAGCCAUGAAUGCUGGCGUGGGCAGCAACACCGUCGGCGCCAUCGUGGGCUACCUUGAACGUCGCACGCCACAUCUAGCUGCGGCGACAGAGGCCGCGGCGUCCUCGGCUGCCUUGUUCGAAUCCGCGCCGUCGUCGACGCCGCCGCGGCUGCACACGGAGCUGAGCGCGUCCGCCCCCACGUGUGUUUCCGCGGGUCUGCCCCUUCCACCGGUUCCGCCGCGCAAAGGGUUGGCAUCGUAUGUACUAUCCACGUAUGGUUCGACACCGGAGAGCACCGAAGGUGAUGCUGGCACUAAACGGCAGCAGCAUACACAGCAGGCGGAGCGCACAGCCAAGGCAGAGAAGCACAAGGCUGUCAUGCCCUUCCGCGACGGUGAUCACCAGUUCAUUCAUCGGGGACGUGAGAUCUUUAUGCAGCUGGACUGAGUGCAGGAUUCACAGAGAAGCGGUGGCGGUCGCGCGUGCGUGUCGAGUGAUCGAAGGCAACCACGCACGAGGGGGCUACGCCAAGCGCUCACCGAUGGGUGUCUCUUUUCGUCUUUGUGGUUUUCUUUUUUUUUCUCAUGCCUCCGCCUCACUGUAAUGUCUCCCUCCCUCCUCCCUCAUGACGGAGUAAAUGGUGGUGGUGGUGGUGAGGGGGGCAUACGUCAGUGCGUGGUAUCACAGGGCCCAGCGUGCCCCCAAUCUCUGUGCGUGGGGAAGCCAAGCCUCCGCUAACCCCUGCUAAAUGCCCAGCCACCUCUGGUGGUGACAGGGUCAAGCGCCUACGACGUAGGGAUGGCCAGGGCGAUGUAUGGCUACCGAUGUCGGCGGCCAUGUCCUGGAUCGGCGUUGCGUCGGAGCGACCUGCGGCCGUGCACACGCUUGUGCCAUCCAUGUGAUGGGCAUCGUGUCCGUGCGAUUCGAACGUAUCUCACCCCCCCCGGCCCUCGCACUGCCUGCUGGUGCGGGGAGCCUGAGUGUCACCCCGCGGGAGAUGCACCAGGGGUGGCGGCCGGCAUGAUGGGAGCCGCUGUGAGGCGACCUGCGAUGCGGGGGCGGUGCUCUACGGUGACCGAGUCGGCGCAUUGCUGCGGCGCGUGUGUCCAGGGCUGUUUUGCACCACCAGGCGUGGCCUGUGACCGGCCAGGGGGCGGGGCCGGGUGGAGUGGCGUUGAGCGCAUGCUACAUGUGAGCGAAUGGGCACGUUGAGUGCACGAAUGCUCACGCGCACGCAUAUGUACCGAUGUAUAUGCUUCAUUCUGUGUAUUAGUGGCUCCCCCUCUGCUCUGCUCCUCCUCGUCGCUUUGGGUUCGAGAAUUUGUUUGGUAUGUGUGGGGCGGGGGGAGGGGUUUCUGUAUGUAAUCUAGUUCGAGCAUUUGUGAGCGACGGGGACUUCAGCCACGAGCCUGUGCCAGCACUCGGGCAGCAAUGCUACUGGGUUGUCCUUGUUUGUUAGUCAUCGCGCCAUCGUUGGCGUGUAGCAGCGGAGAAGGGGAGCCAUGUCGAUUCCCAUACGCAUGCGCGCAUGUCCGUUUCUCUCUCUCUCUCCUCCUCUUGCUGCUACAGGAGCGCAUGUGCAUUAGGGAACGCGGCAGGACGCUCACACGCACACACACACACACACAACAGCGCACCUUCGCAUCGAAUAGACGGUUCUCUGCACAUGGCAGGCUUCUCGUGUUGGUCUUGCCGCGUACGCGUGUUGUUGUUCUGUGCUCUUUCAUUUUGUCUCCUCACCCCCACCUUUGGCAUAUAUAUAUAUAUAUAUAUAUAAUGUACACGUGGAUAUGUACAUCGGCAUGUAUCAUCGCAUCGCCGCCAUAUCUGCUCUCGUAGAGUUUGGCAGCACUGUUGCACCUGAGCUACGGCAUUGGUGACAACAAGGGGCUACGCGAAUGUGCGGCAACGGGAGGGGUGUUUGGCUCUCCGACACUUUGCCGGCCACUGUGCGCUGGCACCUCCGCACUUCCCCUUUUUUUCUUGUGCAGAGGAACGGAGUCGCUCGCGAUGGCUGAUGAAAAUGGGCGCGCAAAGGGUCAAUCUUCCGGUGCCCGCGCACUCGCCCUCUCUCACAUUCAUUGGCGCGUCUACUUCCUGCUCGCGUCCG